AUUCAUAGAUAAAACAGCUAAA
Molecule: small nuclear RNA, 22 nt
Filed under: Arabidopsis thaliana (thale cress)
Lineage: Eukaryota; Viridiplantae; Streptophyta; Magnoliopsida; Brassicales; Brassicaceae
Description: snRNA_01586
Source: RNAcentral